AACGCGAAGAACCUUACCUACCCUUGACAUGUACCGAAGCCCGCUGAAAGGUGGGCGUGCCCGAAAGGGAGCGGUAACACAGGUGCUGCAUGGCUGUCGUCAGCUCGUGUCGUGAGAUGUUGGGUUAAGUCCCGCAACGAGCGCAACCCUUGUCAUUAAUUGCCAUCAUUCAGUUGGGCACUUUAAUGAAACUGCCGGUGACAAACCGGAGGAAGGUGGGGAUGACGUCAAGUCCUCAUGGCCCUUAUGGGUAGGGCUUCACACGUAAUACAAUGGCGCGUACAGAGGGUUGCCAACCCGCGAGGGGGAGCUAAUCUCAGAAAGCGCGUCGUAGUCCGGAUCGGAGUCUGCAACUCGACUCCGUGAAGUCGGAAUCGCUAGUAAUCGCGGAUCAGCAUGUCGCGGUGAAUACGUUCCCGGGCCUUGUACACACCG
RNAcentral lists this ribosomal RNA (435 nucleotides) under uncultured bacterium. RNAcentral's name for it is "bacterial SSU rRNA". It matches the Rfam family "Bacterial small subunit ribosomal RNA", at positions 958 to 1392 of the family's 1533-position model. The record is from RNAcentral.